Molecule: ribosomal RNA, 351 nt
Filed under: Triticum aestivum (bread wheat)
Lineage: Eukaryota; Viridiplantae; Streptophyta; Magnoliopsida; Poales; Poaceae
Description: partial small subunit ribosomal RNA
Source: RNAcentral
AUGCAGUUGUUGCUGUCCUGGGCGAGCAGCCGGACCUGGUUCAUCCAGGUGCGGAUCUGCUCGUCGUGCUCGCCACCGGCAGGCGCCUUCUUUGACAAAUGUGUCAAGAAGCUCUGCAUGCUCUCCAUCUCCUCCCGGAUGAACUGCACGUCGUGCCGGACGCGGCCCAGCAGCAGCGCCUCAUUGCGGAUGACGCCCAGUAGCGAGCUCACCGCACCCGACGCGAGCUCCGCCAUGGCUACCCCCUCCCUCCGCCGGCCGGUGGCUUCGUGGGAUCUAGUUAUCCUCGCGUCUGUAUCGAAGAUGCACUGGUUGCACCACAACGGUGCCGGCCGGUGGCUUCGUGUCUAG